UGAGAUGUUUUCAUGGUCACUAUGUCACUG
This 30-nucleotide non-coding RNA is filed under the name Rattus norvegicus (Norway rat). The record is from RNAcentral. Lineage: Eukaryota; Metazoa; Chordata; Mammalia; Rodentia; Muridae.